Molecule: ribosomal RNA, 426 nt
Filed under: uncultured bacterium
Lineage: Bacteria
Description: partial 16S ribosomal RNA
Rfam family: Bacterial small subunit ribosomal RNA
Source: RNAcentral
UUAAGAAUCUUGCACAAUGGGCGAAAGCCUGAUGCAGCGACGCCGCGUGAAUGAUGAAGGCCUUCGGGUUGUAAAGUUCAUUAAGCAGGGAAGAAUAAGCAAAUAUUAAUACUAUUUGUGAUGACGGUACCUGUCUAAAGCCUCGGCUAACUACGUGCCAGCAGCCGCGGUAAUACGUAUGAGGCGAGCGUUGUUCGGAAUUAUUGGGCGUAAAGGGUGUUUAGGCGGGGGAUUAAGUUAGGUGUGAAAGCCAUGAGCUUAACUCGUGAAAUGCAUCUAAAACUGAUUCUCUUGAGUUCGGGAGAGGAGAGCGGAAUUCCCGGUGUAGCGGUGAAAUGCGUAGAUAUGCGGAGGAACACCGAUGGCGAAGGCAAUCCCCUGGACCUGUACUGACGCUCAUGCACGAAAGCGUGGGGAGCAAACAGG